This 466-nucleotide ribosomal RNA is filed under the name Streptococcus mutans. RNAcentral's name for it is "bacterial SSU rRNA". It matches the Rfam family "Bacterial small subunit ribosomal RNA", at positions 28 to 470 of the family's 1533-position model. The record is from RNAcentral. Lineage: Bacteria; Bacillati; Bacillota; Bacilli; Lactobacillales; Streptococcaceae.
GACGAACGCUGGCGGCGUGCCUAAUACAUGCAAGUGGGACGCAAGAGAACACACUGUGCUUGCACACCGUGUUUUCUUGAGUCGCGAACGGGUGAGUAACGCGUAGGUAACCUGCCUAUUAGCGGGGGAUAACUAUUGGAAACGAUAGCUAAUACCGCAUAAUAUUAAUUAUAGCAUGAUAAUUGAUUGAAAGAUGCAAGCGCAUCACUAGUAGAUGGACCUGCGUUGUAUUAGCUAGUUGGUAAGGUAAGAGCUUACCAAGGCGACGAUACAUAGCCGACCUGAGAGGGUGAUCGGCCACACUGGGACUGAGACACGGCCCAGACUCCUACGGGAGGCAGCAGUAGGGAAUCUUCGGCAAUGGACGAAAGUCUGACCGAGCAACGCCGCGUGAGUGAAGAAGGUUUUCGGAUCGUAAAGCUCUGUUGUAAGUCAAGAACGUGUGUGAGAGUGGAAAGUUCACACA